This 388-nucleotide ribosomal RNA is filed under the name Staphylococcus aureus. RNAcentral's name for it is "partial 23S ribosomal RNA". It matches the Rfam family "Bacterial large subunit ribosomal RNA", at positions 2006 to 2393 of the family's 2925-position model. The record is from RNAcentral. Lineage: Bacteria; Bacillati; Bacillota; Bacilli; Caryophanales; Staphylococcaceae.
GAUUUGGGCACUGUCUCAACGAGAGACUCGGUGAAAUCAUAGUACCUGUGAAGAUGCAGGUUACCCGCGACAGGACGGAAAGACCCCGUGGAGCUUUACUGUAGCCUGAUAUUGAAAUUCGGCACAGCUUGUACAGGAUAGGUAGGAGCCUUUGAAACGUGAGCGCUAGCUUACGUGGAGGCGCUGGUGGGAUACUACCCUAGCUGUGUUGGCUUUCUAACCCGCACCACUUAUCGUGGUGGGAGACAGUGUCAGGCGGGCAGUUUGACUGGGGCGGUCGCCUCCUAAAAGGUAACGGAGGCGCUCAAAGGUUCCCUCAGAAUGGUUGGAAAUCAUUCAUAGAGUGUAAAGGCAUAAGGGAGCUUGACUGCGAGACCUACAAGUCGAG